AAGUCGUAACAAGGUUUCCGUAGGUGAACCUGCGGAAGGAUCAUUAACACGUAUCCAACGUUAAACAACCCUGUGAACUUUAAGUCCCCUCUUGCAGCCCAUGAGGAACAGCAAUCCCGGUAAAUCAUUGCCAAACAGUUUUGAUUCGGGACCUCUGUCCAAAAGGAGUUGCAAUCGAAGGGUGGAAGCAGUGGCAUGGCUUCCCCAAGCAGUGUAAGGAUAACGCCUCACGGUUGCUAGAGGUCGAUCACCGACCGGCAGACAUGUCACAGGGUCACCACGCCCCUUAAUCACUCCACUUGAAAAUGCCCCGCCUAGUGGUAACGCGCUAGGUAAAAAAAACCGAACAACUGUUAACAAUGGAUAUCUUGGUUCUC
RNAcentral lists this unclassified non-coding RNA (377 nucleotides) under fungal sp. Its description in RNAcentral is "partial internal transcribed spacer region". The stretch from base 1 to 46 matches the Rfam family "Eukaryotic small subunit ribosomal RNA", at positions 1786 to 1831 of the family's 1831-position model. The record is from RNAcentral. Lineage: Eukaryota; Fungi.